GGUAUGCAGAAUGGCCCAACUUCAGCUGGGGGUGAGCAGAACACUUCUGUCCAGGGAACUACAUAGAUAGAUGGCUGGAGGUAGGACUCAGCUGCAAAAAACUUCAAGCCCACUCAAGUUGAAGAGGACAUGGAUGUCAAAUGUCUGACUUUUGUGUCAAAGACACUGACUACUGAGCAAAAGACUGCAUCCUGAUAUUUCUCCAAAUUAAGACUUUCUUGGAGUGUUUGCAGGUUGAAAAUCUUGGGUUCAGAGUUGACUCAGCAUAAAACAAUGUGGAAAUAGGAAUUUUGCCAGUUUUAAUGUCAUUUGCACAUGACAUAAGUUUUUUAUUUGAGCUUUGAUUUUGUUAAUAAAAUAUUCAGAGCAGUUCCUGCCAAGUGUUACACUGCCAGCAGACCUGGUACACAGUGAGGUUUGUUUUAAUACAGUCAUAAUGUUGAAAAAAGUGGGUUUUGACCUUUCUGCCCACUUACCUUAUUUCAGCUGUUUAUACUAAGCCAUGAAACUUCUAAACUGUCCAUUUACAGGAUAUUGACUUAAAAGAACAAAAUUUUGUUUCCAUGCAUGAAAAGGCCAAUUGCCACAUUUCAAUGAAUGUGAUCGUUACUGCCAUAAGGAUCCCUGAAUAAAGACCUUUUUCUGCAUAAUGUGGGGCGUGGCAGCUCGCAAUAAAUUACACGGAACCAGACCCUCAGCUGGGGUAAAUGUCUGGGGCUCCUCUGGCAGAGAGCUUGAGUUGGAUCAGCUGAGGAUGUGGGGUUUGAUUGAUACAUGGGUUUGAAAAAGGCCAAUCCUUUAAUUUCCACUGGGAAAAGAAGUACCAGCUUUUCACUUCAGGUUCAGUGUUCAUCUCAGAAUUUUGGAAUCUGUGCAUCUUGCCCUUGACCAUGGCACUACAGGUACAAAGCCUAUGAAGUGCUGAGGGAACAGCUGGCGAAACACGUGGGUCAAAUGCAGAUAUUGAGGCAGGAAAAUAGAAGUAUUUCAUUUUAUGCUGCCAAAAUAUCUGAUGUUGAAUUCAAGGCUGCAAAGUCAUGCAGAAAGAUUAAUCCAGAGAAGUUCAGGAAAGCAUCAAGGAUCCAUGCACACCAGCACAGAGCUGUUCCACUGAUGUGCCAGGCCAGCUCCAAUAUCCUUUAAUUGAGACCAGAACAGAAUGUGUGAAACUUCUAGUGGAAUUCCUCAUACUGGGAUUUAAACCACAGUUGAGUACCAUAUGCUUCAUAAGAAUGCUUAUUUUUCCUCUUGCACUUUGAAUUAAAAGCAAAAC
Molecule: long non-coding RNA, 1273 nt
Filed under: Cyanistes caeruleus (blue tit)
Lineage: Eukaryota; Metazoa; Chordata; Aves; Passeriformes; Paridae
Description: lncRNA (ENSCCEG00000010678.1)
Source: RNAcentral